RNAcentral lists this ribosomal RNA (460 nucleotides) under uncultured bacterium. RNAcentral describes it as "partial 16S ribosomal RNA". It matches the Rfam family "Bacterial small subunit ribosomal RNA", at positions 338 to 795 of the family's 1533-position model. The record is from RNAcentral.
CCUACGGGAGGCAGCAGUGAGGAAUAUUGGUCAAUGGACGAGAGUCUGAACCAGCCAAGUAGCGUGAAGGAUGACUGCCCUAUGGGUUGUAAACUUCUUUUAUAAAGGAAUAAAAUGAGGCACGUGUGCCUUUUUGCAUGUACUUUAUGAAUAAGGAUCGGCUAACUCCGUGCCAGCAGCCGCGGUAAUACGGAGGAUCCGAGCGUUAUCCGGAUUUAUUGGGUUUAAAGGGAGCGUAGAUGGGUUGUUAAGUCAGUUGUGAAAGUUUGCGGCUCAACCGUAAAAUUGCAAUUGAUACUGGCAGUCUUGAGUACAGUAGAGGUAGGCGGAAUUCGUGGUGUAGCGGUGAAAUGCUUAGAUAUCACGAAGAACCCCGAUUGCGAAGGCAGCUCACUAAACUGUGACUGACAUUGAUGCUCGAAAGUGUGGGUAUCAAACAGGAUUAGAUACCCCGGUAGUC